GGGGAAGGAUGAGAAGCUUCGACUAAGGUUCGACUCGAGCGAAGCGAGAGAACGUUGCCGCAGGCAACGGCCCGAAGGGCGAGGCGCUUUAGCGCCGAGUAAUCCUUCCCCCACCAUCA
Molecule: small RNA, 119 nt
Filed under: Klebsiella pneumoniae
Lineage: Bacteria; Pseudomonadati; Pseudomonadota; Gammaproteobacteria; Enterobacterales; Enterobacteriaceae
Description: partial RtT sRNA
Rfam family: RtT RNA
About the family: This family represents a bacterial cis-regulatory element known as RtT RNA. The exact function of RtT is unknown although it is thought that it may be involved in changing the cellular response in relation to amino acid starvation.
Source: RNAcentral